CCUGGGCUGGGGGCCAUGUCCUCCGAGGUCAUCUUCAGCGCUUUACGUGAUGGACUCGGAGUAAAGUUAGUUGGUCGCCUGUUGGGCUAAGAAACUGUGGGGAAUAAGACACCUGCCUCCAGGAGCCUUUUUCUGCCUGGUCCAUAGUUUGGGAUACCGCUACUCUAAAAACUUUAUUUGAGAUGAGGUGAGGCCACACAGUGAGGCCGCCAAGGUGGCGCUUGGAGAAGAGUGUGGCCCGCCGGCUGUGGGCAGUGGGACUCGGGGCCCUCCGCCAGAAGACAGGUGUUCAGGGCCGGAGGGGCAUCUGAGUUCUACGUACAGCUCCGUAGUCUCAUCGUGGCGGCUUUCUAACUUCUCUGGUGGAGAGUAGGGACUCACACAUUUUUGGAAGCCUCUUCUCUUGGGGGGUUGAACCCAGCUUUCAAGAAUAGUUGCAGCAACGUUUAAAUUGGAUGGAAAUAAUGAUGGAACAUGACCUACCAUCAGGCCCUAUGUGGAUCAAACACAGCCCAAGCCAGGGCUGCCCCAGGCCAAGGGCUGGAAGAACGGAAAGAGCUCAUCGGUUUGUUUGAAGGCAGACAAGCUGUACAGGCAGCUGUUCCCAGACUCUCCCAGCUCCGGCUUUUCAUGCAUACCAGCAGAGCCGCUUUUUUCCUCCAGUGAUUGAAACCAUCUGGACUGCAGGGGGGUCACGUGUGUAUGAGAAAAUGACAUAAAGUUUCAGAUCCCCUUGUGUUUUGCUCCAGACCCAGACAAUUCUUGUUCGGAUGGU
This is a long non-coding RNA of Lynx canadensis (Canada lynx), 775 nucleotides long. RefSeq lists it as uncharacterized. The record is from RefSeq and is a predicted model, not a curated record. The transcript is spliced from 3 exons. NCBI's taxonomy places the organism in Eukaryota, Metazoa, Chordata, Mammalia, Carnivora, Felidae.